CGGCGAUCGGAGUUUCAGGCCAGACCAGCUACACAGUGUUAAAGGUGGAUUAAUAUAACAUAGAAGAGAAGCACUGAUGAAGAUGUUUGGAAGAAUGAUGAGCUGCUGUGUGGCUCUCCUCCUGACCUUCAGCUCUGUGUCAGCUGUAAGAAAGCUCAACUCAAUCACUCAUCUGAGGUCAGUAGGCUUUGGCCAGUCUGUGCCUGAGCAGGGCAUUUGGUUGCUCCGCUGGUUUGCCAGUGAAAUUGACAUUGACAUAAACGGUGACAUAAGUCUGACCUUUGACCCAAAUAGUUUUGAUUAUGGCUCACAUCAUUAUCGCAACGAUGAACAGCUGUUAAACCCACUGCCGUGGGGAUAUCACUACUACAGUCUUGGGAAUAUCCAUCAACAAGGAUCGUUGCGACUUCCACAUUAUGUCACUCACCCUCAAUCAGAGCACGAGUACGGCAACAGGGCUCGGAUCAUAAUCAGAGUCUGGGAGCAGAAUGUGGGAUGGCGAACUUCACAGAUAAUAGACCGAGUCUAUAUCACACAGCAUUAUGAGACAUCUGAACAUCGAGGGACAGAUUAUGAUCCACUACAUACAUAUCGGGUCACUACUAACCUCUUAAGAGCAUUGAGGAGGUUUUUCUUGGACCCUAUUAACUUACUGAUGUCUCUCAGAGAUGAUUCCCAGUUUUCAGAGGAAAGAAACACAAGAAACACGUGGGGCUACGUUGCCUGUCUUGGACUAUUGCUGUUCACUGUGAUGCAGGAGAACCAUUCCUCUCACAACAGACGUCAGAAUGAUUGGUUCACUUGGGUCGGUUAUUCAAUCUGUUUGAUUUUCAUUAUUUUUUUGUUUUUUUGUUUUUGGUCUUCUGUAUCUUGAAAACUUGCCCAAGUAUUAAUUUAAUUAAAAUCAGUAUCAGCACACAGAAUGUGCUGUGUUUGCAUCGCUAAAACUUCCCAUUGUCAAAUCCCUCUUGAAUAAAAUAAUAUAAUAUAAUAUAAUAUAAUAUAAUAUAAUAUAAUUAUUAUGAUUAUUAUGGAUUUGAAAUUUUACAUAAUUGGUACGAUUAUUGCGAAAGAACUUUUAAAAUCAAAAUAGUUACUAUUUGAAUAUUAAUUGCAACUAUGGUGUUUUCCAAUCAAGCCUUCGUCACUGUGCAGACAGUGAUCUUAUUAAAGGGGUUAAAUUAUAUCUGCCUGAAUACAGACACUGGCAUUAUUAGAGUCUUAUGGGAACCAUUCUCAGAUUGUUAAAUAAAACUUAGAAGGUCGGGAUUAUUUACCAUGUGAAUUCCACAAUGCAGAUGACAUCUAUAUUUAAGGCUGUAACCGAAUCAGCUUCUUUUUUUAAAAAAAGAAGCUGAUUUACUGAUUUAUUUUUUGGUUGACUACUGCAACGAUAUUUUUAUUAAAGAGCAUAUCACUCUGAUUCUUAGCUCACUGCACAGACUUCCAGUAAGAUAGUUAAUUGUUUUUUUAAACUUACUUCAGAUAAAUCACUGAGAAAGUUUGGGCCCUAAAUUUAUACCUGACAUGUUUAAUUAAUAUGAACCUGGCAGGUAUCUGCAGUAGAGCCGCUCAUCCUGUGGUGCCUUGAUGUGAAAAUAAAGAGGGUGAUAUGACAUUUAGUAGCGCUGCUGCCUGCUGCUCAAACAAACUGUCUUAGAUCGUCUCCAACUAUAUCCCUUUCUAUUUCAAUAAUCGUGUAAGUUGUUAAAUUAACACCACAUGGUCUCAUAUUUCAUGCCUUUCCUUACAAUGGGUUUAUUCAUCAUAUAGUCCAUUUUGGGGAAAUGUGCUUAUUAUCAUCAGUCAUCUUUGUGUCAUUGGAACAGCAAUAAAUGAACAUUUCAGCAUCA
This is a non-coding RNA of Maylandia zebra (zebra mbuna), 1853 nucleotides long. The record is from RefSeq and is a predicted model, not a curated record. Lineage: Eukaryota; Metazoa; Chordata; Actinopteri; Cichliformes; Cichlidae.